Molecule: long non-coding RNA, 984 nt
Filed under: Salvia miltiorrhiza (redroot sage)
Lineage: Eukaryota; Viridiplantae; Streptophyta; Magnoliopsida; Lamiales; Lamiaceae
Description: long non-coding RNA (SMIL_LNC002217)
Source: RNAcentral
UAGUGUUUUGAAUGCCUCAAAAGUUCAAACAAGAAUGAGUGUGACUGUAAGGUUUUCUUUUCUUUUUAUUUUCUCCCUGCAAUUCAAGUAACAUCUCUCAUGUUUGCUUGUGAUUGUGUAUAUCAACAUCUAUGUUGCUCGGACUCGGGUGCGGGUGUCGGACACGGGUGCGGGGAUAUGUGUCGGACUCUUAAUUUUUCUAAACUUAAGAUACGUGGACACGGCUAAAAAGGAUCCGAAAUUAGGACACGGGUGCGGGGAUACGUUUGAUAAAUAAAAAGAUAAUUCUUUAGUAGACAAUAGAAAAAUAUUUUAUAGAUAAUAAUUUGCAAGAAAAUACAUAAAUAUAUCAUCAAACUAUAAAAUAAGGAGCUUUAUCAGGUGAUAGUCCUUCUAUUCUAAAUCACUAAAGCUGGAUAAAUUGGCGGCUUUGGGAUAGCUAAGGUAAGUGACGAACUGACUUCUAGAAUUUAGAUAAUGGGUAAUUCACUAAUUUGUAUAUAAAUUAAUAUUUAAUAGAUUAGUUGAUAUAGUAAUAGAAUAUCCUAAUAUUUUAGAAUAAAUGAUAUACAGCUGUAUACCUCCUGCACACCACACUAAUUUGCCUCACACUUAAUUAAUAAUAUUUUAUUAGAAUAGUGAUAUACAGCUGUACUGUUUUAUCACAUUCACUUUUGCCUUAGUUCACCUUCUUCACCACAGAGAAAAAAAAUUCAUCUCUCCUUCUUUCCACCGCCGAGUCCGCACAAAAUAUGAAGAACCCGGUGCGUAUCCCGCACCCGGAUCCGUGUCGUACCCGAAGGACACGGGUACUCUCCCAUUUUAGGAGAGUCCGAGCAACAUAGAUCAACAUUGAUCCACAUGAAGCCAAAAGCCAUUCCAUAAUCUGAUUUUAAAACAAAGCAAGCUACAUCUGAAGCUCUAUAUAUUAUAGCUCAAACAGAAUAUUAGAAUCAGUUAUUGGAAACCAAUGUACUCCCUCCA